CCUACGGGGGGCAGCAGUGAGGAAUAUUGGUCAAUGGGCGAGGGCCUGAACCAGCCAAGUCGCGUGAAGGAUGAAGGAUCUAUGGUUUGUAAACUUCUUUUAUAUGGGAAUAAAGUGAGGAACGUGUUCCUUUUUGUAUGUACCAUAUGAAUAAGCAUCGGCUAACUCCGUGCCAGCAGCCGCGGUAAUACGGAGGAUGCGAGCGUUAUCCGGAUUUAUUGGGUUUAAAGGGUGCGUAGGUGGUUAAUUAAGUCAGCGGUGAAAGUUUGUGGCUCAACCAUAAAAUUGCCGUUGAAACUGCAUCCCUUGAGUGCGCGAGAAGUAUGCGGAAUGCGUGGUGUAGCGGUGAAAUGCAUAGAUAUCACGCAGAACUCCGAUUGCGAAGGCAGCAUACCGGCGCGCAACUGACGCUCAUGCACGAAAGCGUGGGUAUCGAACAGGAUUAGAUACCCCUGUAGUC
This 460-nucleotide ribosomal RNA is filed under the name uncultured bacterium. RNAcentral's name for it is "partial 16S ribosomal RNA". It matches the Rfam family "Bacterial small subunit ribosomal RNA", at positions 338 to 795 of the family's 1533-position model. The record is from RNAcentral.